RNAcentral lists this ribosomal RNA (494 nucleotides) under uncultured bacterium. Its description in RNAcentral is "bacterial SSU rRNA". It matches the Rfam family "Bacterial small subunit ribosomal RNA", at positions 153 to 664 of the family's 1533-position model. The record is from RNAcentral.
GAAAGGAGGGCUAAUACCGGAUAACNNUGAGAGUCUAAUGUCUCUUAUUUGAAAGAUUUAUCACUGAAGGAUGGGUCUGCGUACCAUUAGCUUGUUGGUGGGGUAACGGCCUACCAAGGCAACGAUGGUUAGCGGGUCUGAGAGGAUGAUCCGCCACACUGGAACUGGGACACGGUCCAGACUCCUACGGGAGGCAGCAGUGGGGAAUUUUGCGCAAUGGGCGAAAGCCUGACGCANCAAUACCGCGUGAGUGAAGAAGGCUUUUGGGUCGUAAAGCUCUUUGUCCAAGGGAAGAUAAUGACGGUACCUUGGGAAUAAGCACCGGCUAACUCCGUGCCAGCAGCCGCGGUAAUACGGAGGGUGCAAGCGUUGUUCGGAUUUACUGGGCGUAAAGGGCGCGUAUGCGGCCUGAUUAGCUAAGGGUGGAAAUCCCGGGGCUCAACUCCGGAACUGCUCUUAGAACUGUCAGGCUAGAGACAAGCAGAGGCAGGUGG